UACGGAGGGAGCUAGCGUUGUUCGGAAUUAUUGGGCGUAAAGGGCGCGUAGGCGGCUUGAUGUGUCAAAGGUGAAAUCCCUCGGCUCAACUGAGGAACUGCCUUUGAAACUGUCUGGCUUGAGGCCGGGAGAGGGUAGCGGAAUUCCCAGUGUAGCGGUGAAAUGCGUAGAUACUGGGAGGAACACCGGUGGCGAAGGCGGCUACCUGGACCGGUUCUGACGCUGAUGCGCGAAAGCGUGGGUAGCAAACAGG
Molecule: ribosomal RNA, 253 nt
Filed under: uncultured bacterium
Lineage: Bacteria
Description: partial 16S ribosomal RNA
Rfam family: Bacterial small subunit ribosomal RNA
Source: RNAcentral